RNAcentral lists this ribosomal RNA (468 nucleotides) under uncultured bacterium. RNAcentral describes it as "partial 16S ribosomal RNA". It matches the Rfam family "Bacterial small subunit ribosomal RNA", at positions 28 to 507 of the family's 1533-position model. The record is from RNAcentral.
GACGAACGCUGGCGGCGUGCUUAACACAUGCAAGUCGAACGGAAAGGCCCUGCUUUUGUGGGGUGCUCGAGUGGCGAACGUGUGAGUAACACGUGAGUAACCUGCCCUUGACUUUGGGAUAACUUCAGGAAACUGGGGCUAAUACCGGAUAGGAGCUCCUGCUGCAUGGUGGGGGUUGGAAAGUUUCGGCGGUUGGGGAUGGACUCGCGGCUUAUCAGCUUGUUGGUGGGGUAGUGGCUUACCAAGGCUUUGACGGGUAGCCGGCCUGAGAGGAUGACCGGCCACAUUGGGACUGAGAUACGGCCCAGACUCCUACGGGAGGCAGCAGUGGGGAAUAUUGCACAAUGGGCGGAAGCCUGAUGCAGCAACGCCGCGUGCGGGAUGACGGCCUUCGGGUUGUAAACCGCUUUCGCCUGUGACGAAGCGUGAGUGACGGUAAUGGGUAAAGAAGCACCGGCUAACUACGUG